UGCCUACGGGACGCAGCAGUGGGGGAUAUUGCACAAUGGGGGAAACCCUGAUGCAGCGACGCCGCGUGAGCGAAGAAGUAUUUCGGUAUGUAAAGCUCUAUCAGCAGGGAAGAAAAUGACGGUACCUGACUAAGAAGCCCCGGCUAAAUACGUGCCAGCAGCCGCGGUAAUACGUAUGGGGCAAGCGUUAUCCGGAUUUACUGGGUGUAAAGGGAGCGCAGGCGGCUUGGCAAGUCUGAUGUGAAAGG
This 248-nucleotide ribosomal RNA is filed under the name uncultured bacterium. RNAcentral's name for it is "partial 16S ribosomal RNA". It matches the Rfam family "Bacterial small subunit ribosomal RNA", at positions 335 to 601 of the family's 1533-position model. The record is from RNAcentral.